This 453-nucleotide ribosomal RNA is filed under the name uncultured soil bacterium. RNAcentral describes it as "bacterial SSU rRNA". It matches the Rfam family "Bacterial small subunit ribosomal RNA", at positions 26 to 518 of the family's 1533-position model. The record is from RNAcentral.
AGAACGAACGUUGGCGGCAUGCCUAACACAUGCAAGUCGAACGAGACCCCAACUUCGGUUGGACGUCUAGUGGCGCACGGGUGCGUAACGCGUGGGAAUCUGCCCUUCGGUUCGGAAUAACUCGGAGAAAUCCGUGCUAAUACCGAAUAAUGACGCAAGUCCAAAGAUUUAUCGCCGAGGGAUGAGCCCGCGUAGGAUUAGCUUGUUGGUGAGGUAAAGGCUCACCAAGGCGACGAUCCUUAGCUGGUCUGAGAGGAUGAUCAGCCACACUGGGACUGAGACACGGCCCAGACUCCUACGGGAGGCAGCAGUGGGGAAUAUGGACAAUGGGCGAAAGCCUGAUCCAGCAAUGCCGCGUGAGUGAUGAAGGCCUUAGGUUGUAAAGCUCUUUUACCCGGAUGAUAAUGACAGUACCGGAGAAUAAGCUCCGGCUAACUCCGUGCCAGCAGCCGC